This 255-nucleotide ribosomal RNA is filed under the name uncultured bacterium. Its description in RNAcentral is "partial 16S ribosomal RNA". It matches the Rfam family "Bacterial small subunit ribosomal RNA", at positions 524 to 776 of the family's 1533-position model. The record is from RNAcentral.
CACGUAGGGUGCGAGCGUUGUCCGGAAUUAUUGGGCGUAAAGAGCUCGUAGGCGGUGUGUCACGUCGGCCGUGAAAACCUGCAGCUUAACUGUGGGCGUGCGGUCGAUACGGGCAUCACUGGAGUUCGGCAGGGGAGACUGGAAUUCCUGGUGUAGCGGUGAAAUGCGCAGAUAUCAGGAGGAACACCGGUGGCGAAGGCGGGUCUCUAGGGCCGAUACUGACGCUGAGGAGCGAAAGCGUGGGGAGCAAACAGG